AUCUUUGUGCUUGGGGCAAUGACGUAGCUAGUGAGGUUCUAACCGAGGCACGUAUUUUGCUGGUUGAAAACUAUUUCCAAACUCCCUCCUUGGCCUGAGCUUGACUUUGGCCGUCGAGAAUUUCUGGAAGAGCUUCCUUUAUUGGUGAAGCU
Molecule: small nuclear RNA, 152 nt
Organism: Salvia hispanica
Lineage: Eukaryota; Viridiplantae; Streptophyta; Magnoliopsida; Lamiales; Lamiaceae
Product: U4 spliceosomal RNA
Source: RefSeq, a predicted model, not a curated record